This 691-nucleotide long non-coding RNA is filed under the name Marmota monax (woodchuck). The record is from RNAcentral. Lineage: Eukaryota; Metazoa; Chordata; Mammalia; Rodentia; Sciuridae.
UAGAGAAGAAAAAGAAAGACAGCGAUAGCCCAAUUGACCAGGGGCCUCCUUGGAUGAUUCAAGUAGAUCAACUCAGGGGUUUAAAAGGCAAGCAUGACGCAUCCCUAAGCAUGUGCUGAUUCUAUGGCAGCAGCAAGCCCUUUUGCAAACCAGCCAGCUCCAGCAGCAGCCUGAGCCAGAGAACAGCGCAAACCUGGGACCCCUGCAGAAAGGUCUGGUGUCCACCAAUUUUUUACUCAAAUUAUUAUAUUUGUCAAAACCAAGACUGCCGGCUGCUUCCUGCCACUGUUUAUUAAUAACUAUCCUCAACACAAGCUCCUUGGGGAAGCCGGGGAAGCCAGCCCCAGGGCCCAGGCUGGCAUCCUGCCAGGCGUCUGAGACAGCCCCAGGGGAUGAAAGCGCUACCCUUCCCAGCUCCUUCCAUGGGAAGUGAACCCCACUGUGGCGCCCUCUCCAGGUCUUUACAGGAGUCCAGGGCUCGCCUUCAGUAGGGACAGAUGCCACAAAAGAUGGGCCAUCAGCAUUAGGGACAAUUGCAAGAUCAUCCAGGAAACGGAGGACCCUAGGGGACAGGAAAACCUGCUCCAGGUGGCUGGGUAACUGGGAGGCAGAGCUGGCACUAGAGUCCUGUUUUACCCGGGCCUCCUGAGGCCAGGAAUCUUUCCACUGCGCUCCCUGUGUAUUUGUUUUU